GCUGGCGGCAUGCCUAACACAUGCAAGUCGAACGGUAACAGACCGCUGGGAUCCCUUCGGGGUGAACUUGGUGCUGACGAGUGGCGGACGGGUGAGUAAUGCAUAGGAAUCUGCCCAGUAGCGGGGGACAACUCGGGGAAACUCGAGCUAAUACCGCAUACGCCCUACGGGGGAAAGCGGGGGACCUUCGGGCCUCGCACUAUUGGAUGAGCCUAUGUCUGAUUAGCUUGUUGGUGAGGUAACAGCUUACCAAGGCGACGAUCAUGUAGCUGGUCUGAGAGGAUGAUCAUGCCACACCGGAACUGAGACACGGUCCGGACUCCUACGGGAGGCAGCAGUGGGGAAUAUUGGACAAUGGGGGCAACCCUGAUCCAGCAAUGCCGCGUGUGUGAAGAAGGCCUGCGGGUUGUAAAGCACUUUCAGUAAGGAAGAAAAUCACAGGAUUAAUACUCCUGUGCCUUGACAUUACUUACAGAAGAAGCACCGGCUAACUCCGUGCCAGCAGCCGCGGUAGUACGGAGGGUGCGAGCGUUAAUCGGAAUUACUGGGCGUAAACGCGCGUAGGUGGUUCAGUAAGUCGGAUGUGAAAGCCCAGGGCUUAACCUUGGAAUUGCAUUC
Molecule: ribosomal RNA, 618 nt
Filed under: uncultured Gammaproteobacteria bacterium
Lineage: Bacteria; Pseudomonadati; Pseudomonadota; Gammaproteobacteria
Description: bacterial SSU rRNA
Rfam family: Bacterial small subunit ribosomal RNA
Source: RNAcentral